GACGAACGCUGGCGGCGUGCUUAACACAUGCAAGUCGAGCGGAAAGGCCCUUCGGGGUACUCGAGCGGCGAACGGGUGAGUAACACGUGAGUAAUCUGCCUCUAGCUCUGGGAUAGCUCCGGGAAACCGGGAUUAAUACCGGAUACGACCACUCAAGACAUCUUCUGUGGUGGAAAGAAUUUCGGCUAGAGAUGAGCUCGCGGCCUAUCAGCUUGUUGGUGGGGUAACGGCCACCAAGGCGACGACGGUAGCCGGCCUGAGAGGGCGACCGGCCACACUGGGACUGAGACACGGCCCAGACUCCUACGGGAGGCAGCAGUGGGGAAUAUUGCGCAAUGGGCGAAAGCCUGACGCAGCGACGCCGCGGUGGGGAGUGAA
Molecule: ribosomal RNA, 378 nt
Filed under: uncultured bacterium
Lineage: Bacteria
Description: bacterial SSU rRNA
Rfam family: Bacterial small subunit ribosomal RNA
Source: RNAcentral